This 460-nucleotide ribosomal RNA is filed under the name uncultured bacterium. RNAcentral's name for it is "partial 16S ribosomal RNA". It matches the Rfam family "Bacterial small subunit ribosomal RNA", at positions 338 to 795 of the family's 1533-position model. The record is from RNAcentral.
CCUACGGGUGGCAGCAGUGAGGAAUAUUGGUCAAUGGACGAGAGUCUGAACCAGCCAAGUAGCGUGAAGGAUGACUGCCCUAUGGGUUGUAAACUUCUUUUAUAUGGGAAUAAAAUGUUCCACGUGUGGGAUUUUGUAUGUACCAUAUGAAUAAGGAUCGGCUAACUCCGUGCCAGCAGCCGCGGUAAUACGGAGGAUCCGAGCGUUAUCCGGAUUUAUUGGGUUUAAAGGGAGCGUAGGUGGAUUGUUAAGUCAGUUGUGAAAGUUUGCGGCUCAACCGUAAAAUUGCAGUUGACACUGGCAGUCUUGAGUACAGUAGAGGUGGGCGGAAUUCGUGGUGUAGCGGUGAAAUGCUUAGAGAUCACGAAGAACUCCGAUUGCGAAGGCAGUUCACUGGACUGCAACUGACACUGAGGCUCGAAAGUGUGGGUAUCAAACAGGAUUAGAUACCCUGGUAGUC